GACGAACGCUGGCGGCGUGCUUAACACAUGCAAGUCGAACGAAGCGCGAUGGUCGCUUGCUUCUAUCAAUCUUAGUGGCGAACGGGUGAGUAACGCGUAAUCAACCUGCCCUCCAGAGGGGGACAACAGUUGGAAACGACUGCUAAUCCCGCGUACUAUCUCAUCUCGAUGUCGAGGAUAGAUGAAAGGUGGCUUCUACAUGUAAGCUAUAACUGGAGGACGGUCUUGCGUCUGAUUAGCUAGUUGGGGGGGUAACCGGUCACUGAGGCGAGGAUCAGUAGCCGGUCUGAGAGGAUGAGCGGCCACAUUGGGCUGGAGAGACGGCCCAGACUCCUACGGGAGGCAGCCGGGCGGAAUCCUCAGGGAUGGACGAAGGUCGGACUGAGGAACGCCGCGUGAGUGAUGACGGCAUUCGGGCUGUGUAGGUGUGUUAGUCGGGAGGAAAGGACUUCUCGCUAAUAGUGGGAAGGAUUGACGGUACCGGGAUAGAAAGCCACGGCUAACUACGUG
Molecule: ribosomal RNA, 510 nt
Filed under: uncultured bacterium
Lineage: Bacteria
Description: partial 16S ribosomal RNA
Rfam family: Bacterial small subunit ribosomal RNA
Source: RNAcentral